GACGAACGCUGGCGGCGUGCUUAACACAUGCAAGUCGAACGGAAAGGCCCUGCUUUUGUGGGGUGCUCGAGUGGCGAACGGGUGAGUAACACGUGAGUAACCUGCCCUUGACUUUGGGAUAACUUCAGGAAACUGGGGCUAAUACCGGAUAGGAGCUCCUGCUGCAUGGUGGGGGUUGGAAAGUUUCGGCGGUUGGGGAUGGACUCGCGGCUUAUCAGCUUGUUGGUGGGGUAGUGGCUUACCAAGGCUUUGACGGGUAGCCGGCCUGAGAGGGUGACCGGCCACAUUGGGACUGAGAUACGGCCCAGACUCCUACGGGAGGCAGCAGUGGGGAAUAUUGCGCAAUGGGCGGAAGCCUGAUGCAGCAACGCCGCGUGCGGGAUGACGGCCUUCGGGUUGUAAACCGCUUUCGCCUGUGACGAAGCGUGAGUGACGGCAAUGGGUAAAGAAGCACCGGCUAACUACGUG
RNAcentral lists this ribosomal RNA (468 nucleotides) under uncultured bacterium. Its description in RNAcentral is "partial 16S ribosomal RNA". It matches the Rfam family "Bacterial small subunit ribosomal RNA", at positions 28 to 507 of the family's 1533-position model. The record is from RNAcentral.